Molecule: long non-coding RNA, 7087 nt
Filed under: Medicago truncatula (barrel medic)
Lineage: Eukaryota; Viridiplantae; Streptophyta; Magnoliopsida; Fabales; Fabaceae
Description: lncRNA gene34216
Source: RNAcentral
CUUGUUUAUCUUUCCCUGCCACCAGUUGAGCUUUCUCACCCUUUUUCUUUGCUUCCUCCUCUUCCUUUUCCUUUGCAAUUUCAAGAUAUUGAAUCAAAUUCUUCAAGCAAGCCUCAACAUCUUCGGUGGUCGACUUUGGCAUCAAAUUCUCGGCAACAUCAGCUGGUGACAUAUUAGUCUCUCCCAACAACUUUUCAAUAAUUGGAAACAAAUCACCAUGAGACUCAACAUCCAAGUAGUUCUUAGCAAGAACCUUGAACGCUUGAUAGCUACAAUAGGACAUUUCUAUGUGUUUAUCCAUCCUUCCCCUCCUAAUUAGAGCAGGAUCAAGUUUGUCCACAAAAUUAGUUGUGAAAAUUAUGAUCCGUUCUCCUCCACAUGAUGACCAAAUUCCAUCAAUAGAAUUCAACAAACCCGAAAGAGUUACCUUGCUUUUCCUUUUCUCUUCUUCUUCAUCAUCAUCGUCGUCAUCAUCAUCUUCUUCUUCUUCUUCUUCACUUUUCUUAUCAGUUUUAUCUUUUUUCUCAUUCUUAUCAUUACGAUCUUUCUCCUUUUUCUUCUUCCUCUGACCGGUAAGCUCGAGAGAACAAUCAAUAUCUUCAAUAACGAUAACUGAUUUGCUCGACGUCUCAAUCAAAAGUCUUUUUAACUCAUUGUUAUCCUUGACAGUUGUUAAUUCAAGAUCAUACACGUCGUAGUUCAUGAAAUUUGCAAUAGCAGAUAUCAUGGUAGAUUUCCCAGUUCCUGGUGGACCAUAGAGUAGAUAACCCCGUUUCCAAGCCUUUCCAACUUUAGCAUAAUACUCUUUCCCUUUCUUGAAUUUAACAAGAUCGUUUAUGAUCUCUUCUUUCUUCUCCGGUUCCAUAGCAAGUGUUUCAAACCUUGCAGGGUGUGCAAAAUUUGUGUGACUCCACCCUGACAUCCACCAACAACCGCUAUUGUUGGUGUAAAGCUUUAGUCGCCUAUUCUUAAAUAUAAUAGCCUUUCCUUGUUCCAACACAUGUUGUAUGUAAGAGGAAGUAAUGAGAUCGCGAUGCCUUUUGUGGAAAGUUAGGGUUAAGUAUCUUACCACAUCGAAAUUAGGUCUUCCUGAAGAUGCUUUUCUUGUUGGAGCUUUGCUGUUUGAAGACCACCAAACUUUGACUCCAUUGAACUCAUCCUCAAUCUCUUCUUUGUCGUCCAUGCUAAGGACAAGCGGUGAUUGGCUAUCUUCCACAACUUCGGCUUUAAGUCUCUUGGCUCUUUGACUCGAGUUAGCACCAAGAUAUGUUUGGAUAAUUGUGUAAGUUUCGCUUUGUUUGAGACGCUCGCCCGAUGAUUCAUAAAAAGUUAUUUCGACGUAAGGGGACAUAAGGUCUGUAAAUUUGUUCAUGUGCUUUUCAACAAACUUAUGAAGAUCAGAUGGGCAGAAUUGCUCAUACAUGGCAUAAACAAAAACAUUAGGCUAGCCGCAAUUGAGCCUAAUUGUGACAAUAUUGACUCAGUCCAUAAUGAAAUCUGAGAUGAGAUCACUAGAGAAAACUAAUGAAGAAACAAGUUGAUAAAAUUCUUGCUAGUUAAGAUCCCCUUAUGGAAAAAACUAUUGCAAGAUUUGUUAACUCAUUGUGAUAGUAACACGACUAUUGUGAAAUCGAGAAUCGUUACUACAAUGGUAAGAGACGAUAAUUAAGGCACGAACAAAGAACAAUUAUAGCGCUAGCUACUCUUCAAUGGAGCGGUUAAAAUAGAUUUUGUACGUACUGAUGAUAAAUCAGCAAUUCCUUUGUCGAAAUGAUUAGCUAGAAAGAAUGUCUAAAACACAUCCAAUAGGAUGAAACUAAUGCCUAAAGAUAACACGAGUGAUGGUAAUUACCCAGCCUAUAUGACUGGAGAUCACAAAAAGAUAGGUUCAAUGGGUAAUAACAAGUCAUGUUGUGAUAGAACAUGCUAUGACAAAAUCUAGAAAAGUCUUAUUCCUGUAGCCAAAUGAGGAUGAGAUAAGAGAAACUCUAAAUGAUAUUAUUACCAUAUGUGGAUAGUAGUACAAAGCUACAAGAGUACUAAUGAACUCACCUAUACGAAUGUGGAAUAGAGGCCGGUUACUAUGGAAUUUUGAGGCAGAAUACCUAGAACGUUCGUCAAAUUGGGAUAAAUGUGCAGGGCCAUAAACACACGAGAAAUAAUAUUUGUACAACUAUCUUGUGACAACUAUUUCUCUCAUACUCAAAUGGUGUUCUUUUUCUCUCUCUUCCUUUCUCUCUCUCUCUCUCUCUCUCUCUCUCUCUCUCUCUAUUAUUUUUGACCAAUAAGAAAAGAGAGAAACAAAAUUGUCACCAAAGUUGUCAUUAAAUGGAUGUCCAAAUAUCAUUGCGUGCUGGUUCUGUGUCUAAGAUUGAGUUUAAUGCCACAAGCAACUCUAGUUAAUUGAAAUUUUACUCGUUAUGCAGAGGUUCAAGUUGUAGGCGACACCUUUGUUUAUUAGCAAUCUUAUAAAAACUUCUUUGACGUUAUUUCUGAAACUAUUUUAAAAUCCAAGUGGGGAUUGUUGGAACAUGUGUAAAAAUUGAGUUAAAAAACUAGACACAAAUUCUCACAUUUGGUAGAAUUAGUGUUGUGUGAAUUAAAAAAAAGUGGUAGUCCUACAUCGGAUGGUUCACACAUAAUAGUAUAUAGUAGGGGUGUAUCUCUAAAGGGGUACAUAAUUAUGUGAACAAAGUAAGCACUAGAAUUAAUUUAAUCAUUAUUAGAAAGUGUUUUCUUAGUCCUCAAGUUUUGCUAAAAUAUUUUAGAACGCAAUCUGAAAUAUUUUCGUAUUCAAUAUAAUAUAUUUUGGUAUUUAUAUGAAAUAUAUUUUUGUACUCAAUAGUAUAUUUUUGUACUCAAUUUGCAAUAUUUUUAUACUAGAUCUAAUAUGUGAAUUACUUGUUCCCAAAGUUGCACACAUACUAUUUGUGAAUUUUCUCUAUAAAUAGAGAGCUCACAUAGUUCAUUCCAUACACCGAAAAAUAUCUGAAACAUCGAAUCUUUUUCUUCGCUCUUCCACUUUGACUUGUGUUAACGAGUCUUUCUUCUCUUCAUCUAGUCCUUUUUCGGGGUAUAAUAUCCCUUGGAAUUAAGAACGGUUUUAUGAGCAUAGUCCCUCAAUAAUCUUUGUCCUUUCGGAAUAAAGAAUAUUUUUAAGAUCAUAAUCCCUUUUCUGGAAUAAUGUCCUUUUCAGAAUUAAGAAUGAUCUUAAAAUAAAAGUAUAUAUAAUCCAUUUUAUAUUUCCUUCCCUUGGAUAAAGUUAUAUGUUAGAAUGGUGAUAACACCAUAUUUGAGUGGUUGAAAUUUCAUAUUGAUAUUUGGAGAUGUUAAAAGUUAGAAUGGUGGUAACAUCAUAUUUGAGUGGUCACAAUACCAUAGUAGAGUGGUCAUAGUACCAUAAUUGAUUGGUUUCAGUACUAAAAUAUGAGUGGCCUUAGUAUCAUAUUGGAGGUGUAAUUUUCGAACGUUUUUUUUACAACAUAGUAGUUAAUCGUGCUGUUGUAGUUUAACUUGUUUUUAUAUAGUCUCCUUUGCAUUACUUUGGACAGUACCAUGGAAUGUCUUAAAGAGAGCGACAUGAUAGUGACUCAACCUAGUAACAACUUCAGUAGAUUUAUUUUUGGCAAAAUUACAAUUUUAGUCCCUUAACUUAAUUUCAGGUAACAGUUUGGUCCUUUAUCUGUUUUUUCAUUUCAAUUUAGUCCUUUUUGUCCAUUUUUAAUACAUUUUCAAGCUUCAAAUCUAAUAUUAUUAUCCAAACAUAAACGAGGAUCAUAGAUUUGAAGACUGAAAGACCAUAAGAAAAUUAAAUCAUGAAUUUUAAGCUUAAAAAUUCAUAUGAAAAUGGACAAAAAGGACCAAAUUGAAAUGAAAAAAUAUAUAGGACCAAACGGUUACCUGAAAUUAAGUUUAAGUGACUAAAAGUGUAACUUUGCUUUUAUUUUUUAAAAAUAGAAUUUAAAAAUUCAAAUAGAACGGUGUUCCGUUAAAUGUUAUUAAAUGUUAUUCUACAUCAUUAUAUAUGAUGUGUAAUAGUAAAAAAUAAGCUCUAAAUUGGGUUGUGUAAAAAAAAUAAGCCUUAAAAUAUUGUUUCAAUUAAAAUAUGAUGAAUACAAGUGUAUUUGAUAGGAUGCCCAAUCAGGUGCUAUAUCUAGAUGAAAUAAAAAGUACAUCAAAGUUUAGAUAACACUGAGCUCUAAAAGCAAUUAAAUGCAUGCAUGCAAGUAGAAUAGAAGCCAUCACCACAUUCUUCCUUAGCUAAGAAGCCCUCAUGAAAAUGCAUACAUCUUAUUUUAUUACAUACUAUAGAUCUCAAUGCUCCACCCAAUUAACACAAAGAAACAACACAAGAAUAGAACCAUCCAUCAAAUGCCAAUUUUUUUUUUUUUUUUGGCACUUUAAAAAAAACCCCAUAUGUCUUGUUUUGAUUUCACACGAAGAAGAGAUACUAUUAAUACAAAGACAACAUUCAAACAAUGAAGCAUUGAAUCCGACACAAACACCAAACACGACAUAAUCAUGUCGCUACCUAUAAUAUAAAAAAUAUAAGACAACGAGGCAUUCAUAUAUAUAUAAUUAAUUUUGUGUGUGGAACUUGGUAAGAGACGGAGGAGGUAUUAAUCAAGCAUGAACAACCAAAGCUAUUAACAACACAAUUCAGACAAAAUUCCCUCAACAUGCCCAAAGGCCAAACCUAAACAUUAUCUUUAAAUGUGUCAAUUCAAAAGCAGCACACAUGAACAUAGUUCAUAACUACAGUUUUAUUAAUUAAAAUGUUUCAAAACAUUACUAAGAAAACUGAAAUUAAUCCAACUAAAAAAAAACUGAAAUCAAUCCAAUCUAAAUUAAUGUAUGACAGCAUUCUCCCCAAUCAAAUUUUUAUUAAAAGGGUCUUAUUAACUAAUGUUCACGGGGAAUUCUUUAAGGAUUUCAAAUUUAGCAAUUAUUUUUUCAAAAAUAACUAUUACAAUUUACAAUGCAUUAAAUACACAAUUUUUCAUCAAAAAACUUACCAUUUAAAAUGUUUAAAGAGUGUCUCGGGGGCACUAGUUAACAUUUAAAAUGUUUGGAAAAUGUUAAGUAGUGCCCCCGGGGCACUGAUUAAGGAAUUAUAAAAGAAAAUGUUUUUUUUUUUUUUUUUUUUCCGAAAAUUAUGUAUUUUACUUUUUGAAACUUGAAAAAAUGUUGAUUUUAAUGUUGACUUUGCUUUUUCUUUCUAACUUUGGCUACUUAACUAAUACCCGGAGGCACCGGUUAACAUGACCCAAAAAAAUUCCUCAUAUUUUUCACUUGCCUCCUCCACCUAUUCAUCCUACAGUCUUGAGCCAAUUCUUGUUUAUCUUUCCCUGCCACCAGUUGAGCUUUCUCACCCUUUUUCUUUGCUUCCUCCUCUUCCUUUUCCUUUGCAAUUUCAAGAUAUUGAAUCAAAUUCUUCAAGCAAGCCUCAACAUCUUCGGUGGUCGACUUUGGCAUCAAAUUCUCGGCAACAUCAGCUGGUGACAUAUUAGUCUCUCCCAACAACUUUUCAAUAAUUGGAAACAAAUCACCAUGAGACUCAACAUCCAAGUAGUUCUUAGCAAGAACCUUGAAUGCUUGAUAUCUACAAUAGGACAUUUCUAUGUGUUUAUCCAUCCUUCCCCUCCUAAUUAGAGCAGGAUCAAGUUUGUCCACAAAAUUAGUUGUGAAAAUUAUGAUCCGUUCUCCUCCACAUGAUGACCAAAUUCCAUCAAUAGAAUUCAACAAACCCGAAAGAGUUACAUUGCUUUUCCUUUUCUCUUCUUCUUCUUCAUCAUCGUCGUCGUCAUCUUCAUCUUCUUCUUCACUUUUCUUAUCAGUUUUCUCUUUAUUCUCAUUUUUAUCAUUACGAUCUUUCUCCUUUUUCUUCUUCCUUUGACCGGUAAGCUCAAGAGAACAAUCAAUAUCUUCAAUAACGAUAACUGAUUUGCUCGACGUCUCAAUCAAAAGUGUUUUCAACUCAUUGUUAUCCUUGACAGUUGUUAAUUCAAGAUCAUAUACAUCGUAGUUCAUGAAAUUUGCAAUAGCAGAUAUCAUGGUAGAUUUCCCAGUUCCUGGUGGACCAUAGAGUAGAUAACCGCGUUUCCAAGCCUUUCCAACUUUAGCAUAAUACUCUUUCCCUUUCUUGAAUUUAACAAGAUCGUUUAUGAUCUCUUCUUUCUUCUCCGGUUCCAUAGCAAGUGUUUCAAACCUUGCAGGGUGCGCAAAAUUUGUGUGACUCCACCCCGACAUCCACCAACAACCGCUAUUGUUGGUGUAAAGCUUUAGUCGCCUAUUCUUAAAUAUAACAGCCUUUCCUUGGUCCAACACAUGUUGUAUGUAAGAGGAAGUAAUGAGAUCGCGAUGCCUUUUGUGGAAAGUUAGGGUUAAGUAUCUUACCACAUCGAAAUUAGGUCUUCCUGAAGAUGCUUUUCUUGUUGGAGCUUUGCUGUUUGAAGACCACCAAACUUUGACUCCAUUGAACUCAUCCUCAAUCUCUUCUUUGUCGUCCAUGCUAAGGACAAGCGGUGAUUGGCUAUCUUCCACAACUUCGGCUUUAAGUCUCUUGGCUCUUUGACUCGAGUUAGCACCAAGAUAUGUUUGGAUAAUUGUGUAAGUUUCGCUUUGUUUGAGACGCUCGUCCGAUGAUUCAUAAAAAGUUAUUUGGACGUUAAGGGGACAUAAGGUCUGUAAAUUUGUUCAUGUGCUUUUCAACAAACUUAUGAAGAUCAGAUGGGCAGAAUUGCUCAUACAUGGCAUAAAGAAACAUUAGGCUAGCGGCAAUUGAGCCUAAUUGUGACAAUAUUUCCCCAAUUCCCAUUGCCAUCUCUAAUACUUAGAAACUAUUGUGCCUAUUCUUAUGUUUUUUUUUGUGGGUGUUGGUUUAACCUAUAUGGUAUGAUUUUAUAAGGAGUAGUGAUUUAGGUUUUGUAUCUUGGCGACCAAGUUAUCUAGGAGACAUACGAUUUGUUGAUUUUGUGGGCGUGUUGAAAUUGGAAACUAGCAGCCAGAUUAAAAAGAAAAUAUAAAAACGAAAAAAAUAUAUUUUAUUUGUAUACUCAAUUAGGCAAAUAUAUCUAUUUAACUCCAC